This 4345-nucleotide long non-coding RNA is filed under the name Meleagris gallopavo (turkey). RNAcentral's name for it is "lncRNA (ENSMGAG00000019684.1)". Lineage: Eukaryota; Metazoa; Chordata; Aves; Galliformes; Phasianidae. The record is from RNAcentral.
AAAAAAAAGACCCGAACACUGGAUUUUAUUGCAUCAAAUUAUUUUUAAGCAAUGCAUGUCCAGAGAACAGCAACAUUUAGUGCCAGAAGGGGACGUGUUGGUGCUGCAGGUAUUUGCAGAGAGGGCUGCGGCGGCCCGAGCUCCAUGUCCUGCAUUGCUCUGCAGAGUGGGAUGGCUGUGUGCCCAUGUACCAGGCCCACGUACCCGCAUGGGGAAGUGCAAUUAAGAAAUAUUCUUUAUUCAAUUUGCCACUGGCCUUCCUGCAGAUCACAUUAUUGAAAGAUGAAUUCAAUUUCAAAGUUGUUUUUAAAAUCUUCGGGUUUGUUCUUUUCAAUGAUUUUUUCCCAUUUUUCUUAUGUAAAGUCACAGGAAAACCUCAUUGCAGCUAAUAAACCCUAAUGAGCACAAAAAGUAAUGACAGAAAAAUGAAAAUGAUGAGCAAGAAGUGAUGCUGGGCCAGCGCUGCGGAAAACACAGCCCCCCAGCCUGACCUGCCAGGAGACAGCUAUCCAGCUGCCUCACGAAUAGCACCAUUUCAGGAGCUGCACACGAUUUCAGGAGCUGCACCCUCCCUCCUGACGGCAGCCCGUUGCUCAGCCUGCCCUUCUGCAGCUGUGGGACGGAGCAGGGAGCGUUCAGCAGGGCUGGGAGCAGCGCCGUGGGUUGGAGCUGCUGCUGCCCCGCGGGCUGAGCGCCCAUCUCCAGGGGCGGCUGCAGGGCUCUGCGCUCACUGCGUGGUUUCAGUAGUAAACCAAAUUGUUCCCAAUCUCCUUAUCUUAUCUGCAGGUUCCAAGGGCACGUCCUCCGCACGCUGCCUGGAAACACGCCCCGCUCGGCGGCCGUCCUGCGGCAGGGCCGGCAUAAGGAGGCAGAUCUGCUUACCGCCGCCGUUCCCCGGAGGCUGAAUGUGCUGAGAUGCGCUGUGCGGUGGAGGGCACCUCUGCGUAGUGACCUUGAAUGGGCAAAACCUGUAAAAACAACGGAGGUGGUGAGGAGAGGUUGGUCCUCCUGCUCCCACGUUGCAGGCAGCUGCGUGUCCUGAGAAGUGCACAUCUGGGCACCCACACGUCUGCACUGCUGCCCCUGCAUCUCUUUACACCCACACAUCUGGACACCUGCACAUCUGGACAGUGGCAUCAUUGGCUCCGAUGUCUCCAUGCAGAGCUCCACAGCACACAGAAGCACACAGGGAGCUGUAGCUUGUGUGGCCUGGUUGGUGCCCUUCUGCAGUCCCAAAUGCACCUGAUGGCUCCCAGAGCUCCCUGGAGAACUCAGAGAAGAUGUUCAGCCCACAUCAUUCCUUUUCCUUGAGAGGCACUCUGCGGGAUGAAGCCUCCCCACCCUCUCUGGGUGGGAUGCAGCCUGGAGCAGCAGCGAGGGAGCGCACAGCCCUGCCUUGGCCUGGGAGCUGCUGCAUGCACGGAUCUCUGUGUGUAAGCUGGGAUGUCUCUUCUGUGCAGUGCUCCCACCGAGCGCCUCUGGGCACUCAGCUCCCUGACCCUGUAACUCCUUACCCUCAUCUCUGUGAUUCGGAACAAAGCCAUCCCCAGGCGCCUCGAGCACACGGCCCCUGUCUCCGUGACGUGUAGAGCAGUCCCCAUCGUGCUGCAGACAGCAGAUGAUAAUGCAUGGCUUUGUUUGUCCCUACGUGCCUGCACAGUGCCCCUAACGCUGCAGUGUGAAUGGUGCUGCACAGCGGGGCUGCAGAGGGGUCACCACGGCCCCAGUCACAGCGCUCUGCUGUGGGGUAGCGACCUCUGAGUGUCACAGAUUGAGCACUGAUCCUCAGAGUAAUGCUGCUGUUAGAGUCUGGGUGAUAAAGGGACUGAACUUGCACUGAAAUUAGGGGAGGAGAAGGCAAUCAACAUAGUGCUGAUGUUUGCUCCAGUUCUCUGCCAUGGGAAGGGCUCCCUGCAGGAGGUCACUGCUGUGUGUGUGGGGCUGUCCUGGUUAGCAGAGCUGCGGGGUCAGGGGUGCAAAAGGCACUCAGUGCUUACCCAGAGGGCUUUCUUCUGCCUCGAUCAAGGAACCAAGGCAAGUCAACGUGGGAUGGCUGCAGGCACAGCAGUGCUGGGAGCAGGUUCUGCUCUGUGCUGUGACACCUGCCGUGGAGCUGCCAUGGGGCAGGUGGGUGCGGGGGUCCUUUGCCACCAGCAGGGCUCAGGCUGACUCACAGCACCUCCCACUGGUGCUGCUGCUCAGAAUAAACCUGUGACCGGAUCUAUGUCCAUGGGAGCCAGGAGGACUUGGUAAUGCAAGUGGCAAUGAACAAAAAUUAAAAAAAUGUAUUUUCUUUGAAUCAACUGGAGGUGAGCUGGGCUAAGAUGGGAGCCUGAGUUGUCAGCCACACAGAGAUCUGCUGGGUGCUCUGAGGAAGGGGAACUCCUGGUGCUGCUCUGGAGUUGUGCUCACAGCAGGUGUGAGCUCAAGGAUUCGCACCCUCCAAGGCUGCCAGUACAGAAGGUCCAUUCAUGCCCUUUGGUUUACAACAAGGAAUUCACACAGAUCCUUUGUGAUGGUUAAUAUAUUAUCUGGGACUCUUUUUUUUUUUUGUUGUGUGUGUGUGUGUGCCAUAUACAGUGCCUUCAUCUGUGCCUUGUGCAAUAAACAAAUCCAUAGCAGCAAGAAAGAUAAAGCAGUCAUGUAAUAAUGGCUUGUGAUACCAAGUCAAGUAAUAAGCAGACCUUGAACAUUGCUGCUUGAGGGCAAAUCUGGGAACCCUCUUCUGCAGCACCUGGGCUCUGACGGUCCAAAUACCCACUGCAGCUUUACAGAAAUGUAAAGAACUUAUUUCUGAUUUGGCCUCUGUGUGUGUAGCUGUAGCACAGCUACAUUUACAGAAAUGUAAAGCUGCAGUGCCCAGCCCAUCCACCCAAUCUGGCUGAGUUUGUGGCCCCAGAGCUGGUGCUGGUGUGGGGAGGGCUGGGUGCAGCAGUGGGGCUGACAGUAUUGCAGCCUACGUGGAGAUGAUGACCGUGGCCCGCAGCCUUGCAUCCACACUGCCUGUUAUUUGAUCUCAGAGCAAGCCUAACUCAGUAGAAAACACUCAUUUAUUAUUAUUAUUAUUUUUAAUGCUGGAUUAGCUUUCUGCUGACGUUGCUCCCUGGGCCAAUUUGCUGCAGGACUGGAGAGCCAGGGACCGUGGCAGAGCACAGCUCUGUGGGACUGACGUGCAUCAACACCAAGAGGAUGCUGCAGGUGACGGAUGGCUGGGAGCAGCCAGGGAUGUCUGUGGGUCUCAGUGGCAACAUGGCCUGACCCAUUUGGUGCCCAAACGACUGACCUGCUUAAAUGAAAGAUGGCCAAGCUGCUUAGAAAAAAUAAAAGUUGAAGCAAGCAAAUAUCAGGAGGGACGUGAGCCUUUACCCGCAGGCAGGAGGAUGUGGAAGUUUUAUUGUUUUUCCUUUGGUGGUGUUCUUUUACGCUUUGGAUGCACAAUCCCAGCAAAUCUUGGCUGGGAUACAUCCAUGGCUGCUUCCCACUGCCUGCUGCCCUGCUCUGCUCCUGCAGGACAUACACUGAUGAAUGCAGCGUAAGCAGGAAAAAGGGGAGCACAGCACGACUGGACGCAUUAAUUGCUGCCUGCGUGGGGCCUUGUUUGAGUCCUGUGGUGUGUGUGAUAUUUCAUGUGACAGAGCUUUGCAACGCUUCAACUUUGUCCUGUCCACAAAAUGACAGUCUGAGCAUCAUUGCUUUCUAUAGAUCUGGAAUGGUGGCAAAAGAAAUUUAGUUUCCAGCCCCAGAUAUUCUGAUCCUCUAAGGCGGUGUCCUACAAACCCAGGUACAGGCUUUUCUGUAUUAGCUGCAAGUGCUGAACACUUUCUUCAUAGGAAUGAUAGGGAAGUGAAAGGAUAAAACCAAAAUAUGUGCUGCUGCGUUUUGUAUAGUGUAGAAAAGAAAAGGAGCAUAGUCCAAAUAACAACAUCUAGUGCUUUUACAGGGCUCCGUGCAUAUGGCAUAAAUGACAGCUAAUUAAACUUUAUAUCCUGCCUGCAAGAUAGGCAUGUAAUUAGUAUUACAUCCCUUCCGUAAUUAGGAGACCGCAUGCAAAAAGCUGUGCCUGCAGACCGUGCUGGGAGGCGGUGACUCAGCCCCACUCCGGCUGCGCUGUGACGGCUGAGAAGGUCGCGCAUCCGACCUGCCGGAGCGGGCGCUGCGGUGGGCGGCUGUGCCACGGCCCAGCAAACGCGGCUGGAUUCACUUUCCAGCACCGCCCGCCCCAAGCCUUUGUGCAGAAGCGCCUGCUUUUCCGUCUGCAAAAAGCACGACGCUGGCUCCGGCUCGGCCGUGCGUUUCACGGCUGAAUGGACAGGAAUGCCGCCCAGCCGCCGCGCUCCGUCCGGGA